Taeniopygia guttata (zebra finch) is the source of this 8997-nucleotide non-coding RNA. Lineage: Eukaryota; Metazoa; Chordata; Aves; Passeriformes; Estrildidae. The record is from RefSeq and is a predicted model, not a curated record.
UUUUUUUUUUUUUUUUUUUUUUUUUUUUUUUUCCUGGAAAGGGACAUUUUCUCUUUAUUUUCUUUACAUUAGUUUUCAUCACCUGCAUUUUCCUUUUGUUAGUAAAGAGAGAAGACGAGCUGAUAGGAAUUUAGAGCAGAGGGUGAAGUGGAAAAUGAAGUAUUUUCACUAGCUGCAACUCACUUUGAAAUAUGGUUUGUAACAUUAAAAGCAUCCGUGUGUACAGAAGAACAGUGAAUGAUUUUGUCUUUUCUGUUCUUUGGCACUGACCUGCUAUAGCUCCUUUCAAACCCAGUUUUUUAAAGACCGAAGACUGGCUUUUAGAAUGGCUUUUGAUGCACAGGCAUAGGCACCUGUGCUGUGCUGGGAGGUGCUGGUUUGUUAUGACCCUGGUAAGAAAGGUACUCAGGCUCCGCAAAGAAUCACUUCAGAUGCCAUUUGGUGGAUCCAACAGUAUAAAGGCAGUAGCAUAAAUAAUCUUGUCUGCUGUAAGCUGCCAGGGAUGCUGAGCUGUGUGUGCAGUGUGGAGCUCCAGUCCAGGUGCAGGACUCCAGGCAGACCCUCUCUGCAGUGCCACCUCGUUUUAGUAAUUUCAGCUCUUACAGGGGGUUCUUAAAAGAAAACAACUCAUUCAUCAUUUCCAAUGCCAAACAGAGAGAGGAUGUUCAUGUGAGAUCUUGUUGGUGCACAGUGAGAUAAAGGCAAGGCCACACAGGUGUGUAAUGACUGGUGCAGAAUGGGAGCUGCCUCUGGGGUCCCCAUUAUCAUCCCAUAAUGUUACUUGGCUGAGUCUGCCCUGCGCCAAGGGAGAGAUGCAGCACAACACAGGCCUGAAAUACGUCUGCACCCCUCGUCCAUGGCUUUGUCAAAAGGUUCUCAUUUAAAAUAAGUGUCUUAAUUAUAUUCCAGCAGAUGCAUCGCUCUCUGCACUGUCAUGUGUUGGCUAAUACUCCAUUAAGCUCUGUAGUGGGUUCUUGUGGUGGAUAAGCUGAAGUUUCAUCUGUUCCUUAGAAAGAGUAUAUAAUUGUUAAUAUGUUUAUUUUCUCUGCAAAAUCAAACAAUUUAGUAUGCAAAAGAUAGUAUUUAUCAUUUAUUUCUUGAAACAAAAUCAGGGAUGAAAAAUACUGACAUAAAACAAUCUAAAAUUUCAGAUUUUUUAAUCCUAUAAAAUUUCAAUACAUUGAAAGUCACAGAUUUAUAAUAGAUUCAAAUUCUUCUGAAUAACUGUCAAAAACUAUUGAACUUGUUAUUGAGGUAGUUUGACAUGAUAUUUCUUGUGUUCAGUUGCUCUUUUUGUACAAUUUCUUAAAAAGAGAUUUUUGAAAGGGGAAGAGAACAAAAGAGGAUGAGGGAGUAAGGUGAGGGAGGUAGAAAGGGGGAAAGAAAAGACAAAAGGAGAAAAGAAAAAGUAUUCUAGCUGUAACAAUUCCGGUUUCCCUUGCUGGCCUACAGUGCCUAGUUUAAUUUUCUUCAAACAAAAAAAAAUGGUAGAAGAAUUGCCAUGCUGAGCUGAGGACACAUCUUUUUGACUUUAAUCAUCUUCAGCACGUUAUGUCUGUAACUGCUUGUACCUGCUGCUCAGUAAUUGCAUUAUUCAGAUCUGAACUUUAAGUCUGACUUUCCUUCCAAAGUUUGUCAGAAACUAUCACAUUCAGAAUUUCAAGUAAAAUUUUUUUUUGCUAAAAUGUCAAUUAAAAUUACUGGCCCAAUUUCUAAGCAAAAAUAUGAAGUGUUAACUUUUUUGCUUUAUAUAGAACCAUUACAAGAAGAACAAACUUAGAAUGAUUUACAGAAGUGAUUGACCUCAUUUAUUAAUUGAUUCCACUUAUUUGUCCCCACCUCUUUCCCCAGCUAUCAGGAGUAUUUCCUUCACUUCUCACACUCAUGGAAUUUUCUAAAUAGCCUACAAGCUUUUUCUUCUCUAGUUUGUCCUAAAUGCUUACUUGUUUCACAGUGUUCUUGGGGCCAUAGUUCAGCAAUAGUGACAUUCAGGCGGAUAUUAUUCCCAUCUGAGUAAGGGUAAAAUUUUAUUUUCUUACCUCUCACCUGGCUUGUUCAUUGGUGUGUGACUUGUUGUUCAGUUCCUUAAAUAGCUCAAGGCAGCAUAAAUGAAGGUCAACAAACUAUAGGCUUGUGUAUGAACAUUGGUGAUACCAGAGCCCAAAUUGUGGUUGGUUUAAAACACAGAAAGUUUAAUGUUCAGGAAUCAAGGUUAAAUUCUCCUUCAUACAUUUUUUUAUAAGACGUUAUAAUCUCUUGACUUCUCUUCCUUAUUUUGGAUAAUUUUGAUCUCCGAUCAAAGAAAUAAAAUGAUCUGUGAUUGGUAUUUCUUGUGCCUGGCACAUACAUUAUGGCAUCCUGGCAAAAAGGGUUUGCCUUUUCUAAAAACUACUGGCUACAACAGAAACCUAAGUAUGUCAGGUUCAUAGCAGGAGCUCUGUAAAGCUCUGUGCAAUUAGUGGAGGCAUAAAAAAGUUAAAACUAGAUGGUCUAACAGUUUUUGAAGUAAGGUCAGUUCUUUCCUAAAAUUUUUCUUUCUUGUCCUUUCAUAUUUUGAAUUGCAGAAAUUAUGGGGAUGGGGAGGCAGGGCAUCUGAAAGCCUUCUUCACUUUUAAAAGAUUAAAGAAUCCUCCACCUGCACUGCUCCUUGUGAUGCCAGUAGAAUUCUUAUAUUUGGGGCAAAGAUAGAGCUGUGGCCCAAAGGCUUGGAAGUUUUAGAAAAAUACAGACUUCUUACUUGCUCAUUAAGCAUUUUCUUUUCUUAUCUACAAAUAUAUGCAGAUAAGCUGCUAAUUAUGUGGACCCAUCUGUUAUAUUUAAAGUGUGAUAAAUGUAGAUCCUAAAUUUAAAGCUUCAUAGAAGCUUAUUAUAUUUCAAGACCUUCUUUUUAGAGUAUGAAUUUUAGAGUACUAUAUGCAUCUGGAACAAACUUUAAGAGUCUGUGGAGGUCUGCAGGUUUCUUGUCAGAUCAUUGUGAACUGUAUUUUCCCUCUUUUUGGAAGUGUCCAUGACAAAGAAUUUUACUCACUCUGGCCAUGCCUCCUAUAAUUUUUCAGACAUCUGCUCCCAGCACAACUGUUUAACACUGUGGGGUAGAAGUGUUUUCCUUCUUUCUUUAACAGAGACCUGUUAACCUGUUAGAGAUGAUCUUUUAGCUGAGCAUUUGUACAAAUUUAUUUGCCACGUCUCAUUUGUGUGCCUUUUGUGACAUUUUCUGGCACAAGUAUUGGAAAGGGGAGAGAAAUGGAAAGCUUCUUAGAAUUGAAGUGCCUGAUGGUCAGAUGGUAGAAUUGUGAUCCCCUUUCAUGCAGCUGGAUUGUCAGAAAUUUACUGUGACUUUUCUUUCAGAUUUUGCAGCAGGAUUAAAAUACAACGGAUCAGGGAGAGAUUCAGGUGAUGCAUUGCUGAUGAAUGGGAAAGUCCCAGGUGUGUAGUACCCUAUUUUUCCCCUUCCAGUUCAAAGCAAACCCAUGUGACACAUGGCUUGCUUAAGGAAUGCAGCUAAGCAUUCACAUUUUUCUCUUGAAUGUGCAUUUCGAUUUAGGAAUUGCUUGCAUGACAGCUCUGGUGAGGAGACUCCUGAGAUAGCACAGUGGGUUUUCCUCUCUCCUUGAUCUGCCCCACAGCACAGUCCAGACUGUCGGGCUUCUUGUCUCUCAGAAUCAUCCUUGGAGAGCAGUGAAUGACAAGAAGACAGGGAUGUUUACAGGCUAGCAGUUUCCUCUUGUGAUCCAGCAAGGUGUGCUGCUUUAUGGAGAUGACAAAUACAUUACAGCUGUUGAUAAGGAUGUCCAUUAGCUGAUGUUAGAAAACACCAGAAAUUUGCCAAAGAAGGGAAGUGGCCAUUUUUCAAGCAAGGUGAACCAACAAUAGAUAAAGAUAGGAGAAAUAAUUCUGUGUUUUAGUCAGAAUGGAUGGCUUCAGCCAUGAAUAGCAGGACAGAACUACAGGAGCAUUGCAGCAAAGUGAAAUAGUGCCUUUCCGUUCCAUGGCUCUGUGUUGGAGACACCUGACAGAGGGGAGCUGGUUUGCAUGUAAUCACUCAGCCUGUGACAGGGCCCUUCAAUGUCGAUGCUGAAGCAGUCAUUGCAUGGCUCUGUCCUCAGCUCUACUGCAGAUCAAUGACUCUGCAGGUCAGUUGACUUGACCUGUGUCAAGUAAGGACACAGACUGUCAUGAGUGAGUAUGAUUUGACAUCUGCUACUUCAGAGAAUUUUUUCUUAAUGUUGUCAUGAACUCUGCCUUAGCUUUUGAGGAAAAAGUGUUAUGGGCAAGGUAUCUCACACUGCUGUACACGAUAAUAUAUAUGAGUAUUAGAAAGCUUGCUGAGGGUGUCUUAGAGAUGUUUAUGUACUGAAAGGUAGCAAUUGGUGUGAUUUGGCUGUGAAAUCACUGUAACCUUCCUUUUAUUUUUCUCAGUCCAUUUACAGUGAUGGAAACAAACUUUUGCUUUGAUUUUUACUAGAUCACUCUUUUUCCUGAAAAUAUUUGAGUGGUGAAGCAACUCUCAACACAUCACAACUCACAUUCCUCAAGAAAAAUAUGUCUGAAUUAAAGUUUAAUUCAGAUCCAGAAUGCAAAACCCUUGAAUAUUUGUGAUGCAGAAGCUUCAAAAAGUGCAAAACUCACCCAACAGUGAGUUGUCAGGCAUCAGAGAGGUCUAAGGAACAUUCUGGGAAUCUUUCAUUGUCCUCAGUUUUUGACAUUGCAUUUGUUACUACGGAACUGUUUGGUCAUAGAGAAAUACUUCUCCAUGGAAUUUAGCCUGCAGCAAGGAGUGCCAGUUCACAUUCUCGUAGUUACUGGAAGUGAAGCUUCAUAGACAUGUUAAAAUAUUUGACAGGAAGAAGAUUUGAUAGAAGGAUACACCUUCCUGUACUGAUGCUGUCACAGUCCAUAUGCCAAUAGCAGUAACAACCUCAGCUUCCCUACUAGUGGAUGGAGCAACAGAAGGGUAGCUAAUACAAUUUGACAUUCAGGCUGAGAAACUUCAGCAUCUGCUGCAAAAACUGGCUCACAUAUUUUGAAGAGGUUCAGCAGAGGUUCUCCCCCCUCUCCCUGUCUGAGGGGGUUAUAUAAAAGACUUCUUAAUAUUAAAAUUAUUCCUUUUUUCUAUGUGUUCUUUAAAAUAAAGCCUCUGGGACUGUUAAUAUCUCUGAUGUUAUAGCUUUGAAGACUGCAUGAAAUGAUUUUAAAGGAAAAGCUUUUAAAGGACUCGUCCAUUUCUAACAUUGGCUAUCAAUCUAGUUUGCGGCUCUAGAGUGGAAACUUUGAUAUAACACAAGUUAAAGGCAAAAGAUUUUACAUGACAGUUUGAAAAGAUGCAUAUUUCUAAGCACUGAACUUUCAUUUGUUAGGAUUUCAUUUAGUGCAGCAUGCUCUCUAAAACUGCAGCUGUCUCACUGCAUUUGGCUGCAGAUUGUAGAGGGUAAAAGAUCUUCUUUCUUUUAUGUAGCUAAUGCAGUAACAAAAAAAAAAAAAAAAAAAAGAGAGUUAAUUCUACCUAGUGAGAAGUCCACAAGAUUUUCAGCACAUUAGCUGCUAUGUCAGCCUAGAAGAGAAACUUCUAGGCACAUUAAGCAAUAUAUUUUUUUUAAUAUUGCAAAAAAUGCAAAAGGUGUUUAAAUUUACUUUAGUCUUUAGGGACUAACUUAUGUGUUGCUCUGUGGAAGAUUUUAGGGGAGGAAGCAUCCUGUUUUGGAACAUGGUUUCUUCAUUUUAAUUUCUUAGAAUUCACAACAUUCUUAUACUUUGAAUGAUAAGAUUUUUUUCUCAAUAUUUACAAAAAAAAAGAAAAGAAAAAAAGGAACAUGGGAUAAAUGAAAUGUGAACACUAGGUGUGGUUUGUGGCACUUUUAUGUUGUACAUGAGAAAGAUCAAUUGAUGCUAAAAAGAGAGGAAUCGGUCAGGUAAGAGGUGCUGAUCUGACUGAGGGGACACAUACCUCUGGGAAAGAAAAUUUGAACUUUUGUUAUGAGAUCCUGGAAUUCUCAUGUCCUGUAAACUUACUUGAGGUAUACUUGCAGAAGGGGAAUUUUCACCCUCAUUUUAAGGCAGUGCAUUGAUCUUCAUUCUAAGGAACAUUUUAGAAUGAAAGGGGGAAAAGUUUAUUCUUUGACAAAUAACAGAUUCCAGUAUAAAAUAAUUUAAUUCAAUCUAUUUUAUUCCACCAUCUAUAAUUGCAUUCCACAUCUCAGUUGCUCCAAGGUUAUUAUAGCAGCAUGAGUGCCAUCACCACAGAAGGAUUACAUAAUGGAUUUCUUACUUCCAGACCAAUAUGAAUCUUCUGGUAUUGUUGAACUAAACAGGGUGCUCUUCCAGCAUCUUUUCUGUCCUUCCUCACCACUUCUUUAAUUUUUUCUUUAUUUACUCUUCACCAUAGAUGAUAACGUUGAAGUACUUCUUUACCUUAGAGACAUUUUUGGGGGUUUAAAUUGCAUUAUUCUAAAGAAAGAAUUAUGACUUAAGUUGACUACAACUUUCUAAGUGGAAAGGAUAUUAUAACAUGAAAUCCAUAUCUCUAUAUCUUUAUAUCUACACAGCUGUACAGCUGUCACUUAUGUCUCUUAUAUUCUCUUUGGUCUGAAAUUAUAUUUUGUGUUUGUGACACUACAUAUGUUUAGAUUACUUAUCUCCUUCAAUGUCUUUGUAUCAUAUCUGCCAUUUUCAUAGUCCUUUAGACUCUUUCCUUUUUUUUUACAAUACGCUCUUUUUUUUUUUGCCUUUGUAACAUCAUGUACAAGGAAGGCUAUAUACCUAUGAGAUGUGACAAUUAAUGCAUUACAAAUAUCCACACUGACUUAACAAGUUUUCUGGUUUCACACCAGAAGCAUAAAGUACAUUCAAGGUCAAGUAGACUAGAGCUCUGACAAACCUGAUCUAGUUGAAGAUGUCUCUGAUUAUAGCAGGGUGUUGGAUCAGAUGACCUUUAAAGGUCACUUUUAACCCAAACUAUUCUAUGAUUCUAUAAAUCUGAUUCUAUAACAUUUGAGCCAUUAUUCAAAUCUUGCUAGGAAAAGAUAUUAAUAUGGAUGAUACUGUAACCACUCUUUUAGAAAACAAGCAGUUAAAAUACAGUCUAUUGCCAUUAUUACAUCUGUUAAUAUUUGAUCUGCUUCACUGAUUUAUAUUUGUGUAAUAUAGAAUUAUAAAAUCUCUACCUUGCAUGAAUUGCCAAAGAAGUACUAUCCAGCAAGUCAAAUAAGGUGUACGAGAGCACCUAAAAAGUAUGUAUUUCUUAGCUGAACUUGUAAUUCCUUGUCCAAGUUUACAUCUGGUCUAACGUUGUGAUUUAAAACAACAACAUUUAUUUCGAAACAUGUACUGCAAAAUCCUUACCUUUAAAAAGAGAGCUGAGUCUUUACCCUUCCCCAAAUGCAAACCUGGAUGCAUUUAUGAAUGAGAUGGGAAAAUUUGAGAGAACAAUAAAGGCCAAUGAAACAAUAAAAAUCUCCCGUUCUCUUCCAGUUACUGGGAUGAGCCUUUCUGAUGAACGGACCAGCAGUGUUUGCAAUGCCCUAUGGGGUCCUGAUCUAAACCCUCCCCUUACAUGUCCCUGGUUUAAGCCAGAGAAUGGUCACAUCCAUCCCUGUCCUAGCAUAUCACAAAAGUCACACAGAGAAGGGGAAAUCGGGAAGGCCUCACAGCCCUGUGAUGUCCAUCCAAACGUGCAUCUGCAGACAGCCAUGAAUGGGGUUGUUGGGUGUGUUUGGCAGGUGAUGGAUGCCUGUCCCAGGACAAAAGGCAGGCAUCCUGGCAGGUUUAAUUACCCAAAAGGCCCAGUGCUGAUAGAGUAUCUCUCAGUGUGAGGAAAACCAAAGAGGAGAGCUCAGACAAAUUAGCAGGGCAGAGUAGUAAAGAAUGCUGUCACAUGUAAGAGGCAUUGAAAUAAUGUUUUUAUGGUGGUGAUUAGCUCAAUGGCCUUGUAGCUCUUGCACAGAAUGAGCACAACAAAGCAGGGAAGGGGCGUUUCUCUGGCUCUUCUCUCCCCUUGCCUCCAGGAGCCAGCCACUGUCUGGUGCAGCCCUUGCAGUGUUGAUUUGAUUCAUGGCAUCCAGCAUGUCACCUAGGAUUUAUGCUGCGUCAAGGGAGCCGUAAUCCUCUGUUUAAAGUGCUUGUGAAGAAAGGCUUCAUGUAAGUCAGGCACUCUGUUGCAUUAGAGAAUGUUUAUUGCUACUCUGAUGGAGUACUUUCAGGUAUCAUAACUUUUGUCAGACGUGAGCUCUGAGCAGGGAGGCAUAAAUAUCCAGGAGAAGGCUGUUCCUGCUGAACAGGCUGUUCCUGCUGAAUCCUCUUCAGCAGGAUUUGGCAGCACGUGUGCAUAGCAUUGGUGGGCAUCCUCUCCCCCAGGACUUCUGGGGUGAUAUAAGGAUACAGAAAGAUUUGCCAACAUGAGUGUUCAUCUCAGCACAUCAUUUGAAAAGAUGCAGGAAGGAAAAGGAGGAAGAUGGGGAAGACUUGCCCGGCUGUAGAAGUUUUAGGAGGAUGGAGAUGCUGAUCUAACCUUGUGUUGUUGUUCCUGGCAGUUGCUUCAGCAGACCCAGAUCCUGACUAUUCACCUAGAAAAACCCAAUUUACAGUCAAUACUGAGGAGGCCAUACUUCAGAGAUUAAGAAGGGCUUUUUUUUCUCACCUCUGCAUGUAUUAAAGUCAUGUGAGACUGAGCAAAGAGCAGAAAUAGAAUAUAUAACCUGUCUCUCAAUACUGAAUAAUUCACAUGAUUUAUUUAGCAUCUGCUUUGCCAAGUCAGAAAACAACACAUUAUUACUCUUUUUUUAAUCUGAAAUAGGGGUGCUUGCCAUGCUAUCUCAGAGCAGCCAUGCAGUGUGCACCAAAUAUAACAAGACCUAUUUUUCCAGAUGUGUUCAGCUUAACAUGAAACAGAGACUGGCUCUUUGUUUUCCUAAUGUGCUGGUGUACGCUUUGCUUUCCAAGGGGGAAUGGACUUGGAGCCAGGCUAGUUACUCACCCAUAGAUGGAGCAGGGUUAAUGUUAAAA